This 760-nucleotide ribosomal RNA is filed under the name Choerophryne arndtorum. RNAcentral's name for it is "partial 12S ribosomal RNA". The stretch from base 1 to 512 matches the Rfam family "Bacterial small subunit ribosomal RNA", at positions 782 to 1533 of the family's 1533-position model. Lineage: Eukaryota; Metazoa; Chordata; Amphibia; Anura; Microhylidae. The record is from RNAcentral.
AUACCCCACUAUGCUUAGCUGUAAAAUAUUAACCUACACUCAAACCACCCGGGAAUUACGAGCCCAAGCUUAAAACCCAAAGGACUUGACGGUGUCCUAUCCCCCUAGAGGAGCCUGUUCUAUAAUCGAUUCCCCCCGAUCCACCCCACCACUUCUUGACCACCCAGUCUGUAUACCUCCGUCGCAAGCUUACCGUGUGAACGCACCUAGUAAGCUAAAAGAUUCAUCACCUAUACGUCAGGUCAAGGUGCAGCCUACGAAGCGGAAAGAAAUGGGCUACAAUCUCUACUUUAGAACAAACGGAAAACUGUAUGAAACACAGUUACUGAAGGCGGAUUUAGCAGUAAAAAGAAAACAGAGUGUUCUUUUUAACCAGGCACUAGGACGCGUACACACCGCCCGUCACCCUCUUCAAACUAAUAGAAAAAGUUACUAACACCACUUAAUCACACAGAAGAGGCAAGUCGUAACACGGUAAGUGUACUGGAAAGUGCACUUGGAACAAAAUGUAGCUUAACUAAAGCAUCUUGCUUACACCAAGAAUAUGUCUGAGAAAUCCUGACCAUUUUGAGCCUAACCAACAGCCCCCCCACUACAAUACAAGCCCCCCCCCUAACAAACUGACUAAAACAUUCUCUCAGUUAAGUAAAGGCGAUUAAAAAACUUCUAGGAGCCCCAACAACAGUACCGCAAGGGAAUUAUGAAAUAAAAGUGAAACAAAUUCAAAGCACUAUAAAGUAGAGAAUCCCCUCGUACCUUU